AGAAGAAGCACCGGCUAACUACGUGCCAGCAGCCGCGGUAAUACGUAGGGUGCGAGCGUUAAUCGGGAAUUACUGGGCGUAAAGCGUGCGCAGGCGGUUUCGUAAGACAGAUGUGAAAUCCCCGGGCUUAACCUGGGAACUGCGUUUGUGACUGCGAGACUUGAGUGUGGCAGAGGGGGGUGGAAUUCCACGUGUAGCAGUGAAAUGCGUAGAGAUGUGGAGGAACACCGAUGGCGAAGGCAGCCCCCUGGGUCAACACUGACGCUCAUGCACGAAAGCGUGGGUAGCAAACAGGAUUAGAUACCCUGGUAGUCCACGCCCUAAACGAUGCGAACUAGGUGUUGGGGAAGGAGACUUUCUUAGUACCGCAGCUAACGCGUGAAGUUCGCCGCCUGGGGAGUACGGUCGCAAGAUUAAAACUCAAAGGAAUUGACGGGGACCCGCACAAGCGGUGGAUGAUGUGGAUUAAUUCGAUGCAACGCGAAAAACCUUACCUACCCUUGACAUGCCAGGAACUUGCCAGAGAUGGCUUGGUGCUCGAAAGAGAACCUGGACACAGGUGCUGCAUGGCUGUCGUCAGCUCGUGUCGUGAGAUGUUGGGUUAAGUCCCGCAACGAGCGCAACCCUUGUCAUUAGUUGCCAUCAUUUAGUUGGGCACUCUAAUGAGACUGCCGGUGACAAACCGGAGGAAGGUGGGGGUGACGUCAAGUCCUCAUGGCCCUUAUGGGUAGGGCUUCACACGUCAUACAAUGGUCGGUACAGAGGGUUGCCAAGCCGCGAGGUGGAGCCAAUCCCAGAAAGCCGAUCGUAGUCCGGAUCGGAGUCUGCAACUCGACUCCGUGAAGUCGGAAUCGCUAGUAAUCGUGGAUCAGCAUGCCACGGUGAAUACGUUCCCGGGUCU
Molecule: ribosomal RNA, 901 nt
Filed under: uncultured bacterium
Lineage: Bacteria
Description: bacterial SSU rRNA
Rfam family: Bacterial small subunit ribosomal RNA
Source: RNAcentral